ACAGGCUUAACACAUGCAAGUCGAGGGGCAGCAUGGUCUUAGCUUGCUAAGGCCGAUGGCGACCGGCGCACGGGUGAGUAACACGUAUCCAACCUGCCGUCUACUCUUGGACAGCCUUCUGAAAGGAAGAUUAAUACAAGAUGGCAUCAUGAGUCCGCAUGUUCACAUGAUUAAAGGUAUUCCGGUAGACGAUGGGGAUGCGUUCCAUUAGAUAGUAGGCGGGGUAACGGCCCACCUAGUCUUCGAUGGAUAGGGGUUCUGAGAGGAAGGUCCCCCACAUUGGAACUGAGACACGGUCCAAACUCCUACGGGAGGCAGCAGUGAGGAAUAUUGGUCAAUGGGCGCAGGCCUGAACCAGCCAAGUAGCGUGAAGGAUGACUGCCCUAUGGGUUGUAAACUUCUUUUAUAAAGGAAUAAAGUCGGGUAUGUAUACCCGUUUGCAUGUACUUUAUGAAUAAGGAUCGGCUAACUCCGUGCCAGCAGCCGCGGUAAUACGGAGGAUCCGAGCGUUAUCCGGAUUUAUUGGGUUUAAAGGGAGCGUAGAUGGAUGUUUAAGUCAGUUGUGAAAGUUUGCGGCUCAACCGUAAAAUUGCAGUUGAUACUGGAUAUCUUGAGUGCAGUUGAGGCAGGCGGAAUUCGUGGUGUAGCGGUGAAAUGCUUAGAUAUCACGAAGAACUCCGAUUGCGAAGGCAGCCUGCUAAGCUGCAACUGACAUUGAGGCUCGAAAGUGUGGGUAUCAAACAGGAUUAGAUACCCUGGUAGUCCACACGGUAAACGAAGAAUACUCGCUGUUUGCGAUAUACGGCAAGCGGCCAAGCGAAAGCGUUAAGUAUUCCACCUGGGGAGUACGCCGGCAACGGUGAAACUCAAAGGAAUUGACGGGGGCCCGCACAAGCGGAGGAACAUGUGGUUUAAUUCGAUGAUACGCGAGGAACCUUACCCGGGCUUAAAUUGCAGAUGAAUUACGGUGAAAGCCGUAAGCCGCAAGGCAACUGUGAAGGUGCUGCAUGGUUGUCGUCAGCUCGUGCCGUGAGGUGUCGGCUUAAGUGCCAUAACGAGCGCAACCCUUGUUGUCAGUUACUAACAGGUUCCGCUGAGGACUCUGACAAGACUGCCAUCGUAAGAUGUGAGGAAGGUGGGGAUGACGUCAAGUCAGCACGGCCCUUACGUCCGGGGCUACACACGUGUUACAAUGGGGGGUACAGAGGGCCGCUACCACGCGAGUGGAUGCCAAUCCCCAAAACCUCUCUCAGUUCGGACUGGAGUCUGCAACCCGACUCCACGAAGCUGGAUUCGCUAGUAAUCGCGCAUCAGCCACGGCGCGGUGAAUACGUUCCCGGGCCUUGCACA
Molecule: ribosomal RNA, 1350 nt
Filed under: uncultured bacterium
Lineage: Bacteria
Description: bacterial SSU rRNA
Rfam family: Bacterial small subunit ribosomal RNA
Source: RNAcentral